Molecule: ribosomal RNA, 176 nt
Filed under: uncultured Naegleria
Lineage: Eukaryota; Heterolobosea; Eutetramitea; Acrasida; Vahlkampfiidae
Description: 5.8S ribosomal RNA
Rfam family: 5.8S ribosomal RNA (bases 2-146)
About the family: 5.8S ribosomal RNA (5.8S rRNA) is a component of the large subunit of the eukaryotic ribosome.
Source: RNAcentral
UAACUCUGUGCAAUGGAGCACACGGCUCAUGCAUCGAUGAAGCCCGCGGCAAAAAGCGAUAUGUAAUGAGAUUCGUUAGCCUCGAGAUUCAUCAAAUUGGUGAACACAGACUGGACCUCUUCGGAGGUACUUGCGUUAGAGUGCUAGUUUUAUAUCAGUUGAUCCUGGUGAAAGGU